Homo sapiens (human) is the source of this 705-nucleotide long non-coding RNA. Ensembl annotates it as long intergenic non-protein coding RNA 1876. Lineage: Eukaryota; Metazoa; Chordata; Mammalia; Primates; Hominidae. The record is from Ensembl.
CCAGCCUCGCUGCCGCCUUGCAGUUUGAUCUCAGACUGCUGUGCUAGCAAUCAGCGAGACUCCCUGUGAGUAGGACCCUCCGAGCCAGGUGCGGCUUAUAAUCUCGUGGUGCGCCGUUUUUUAAGCCGGUCGGAAAAGCGCAGUAUUCGGGUGGGAGUGACCCGAUUUUCCAGGUUGAUUUUUGAGUAGUGAACCAGCUUUGCAUUCCUGGGCAAUGCUUCCACACAGGACAUAGUUCAGAAGGCAUUAGAAGGCAUAGAGUAAAAAGUGAAUAAGAAUGGUCUUCUUACAUAAUGCAGGGAUGGAAGAAGAUACUUGGAAAAAUCAGGGAAGAGUGAAGAAGAUACUUCAAAAAAUCGGGGAAGAUUUUCAUCAUAAGGUCCAAGCAAAGGCAUGAGUAUAAGAUGUGUAUUCCUGAGCCUGAGUCUACUGACAAAUAUACCACAUCCCCAGAGUAAGUUGGAGUCUCUUAAAAUUGUCUUGCUGGCAUCUAGCGGAGAUUGUCCCCACAAGCAUGUUCCUUAUGACGGAUGCCUGGGUCAGAACACAUAAUACAUUCCUUUUUAUAAGCACAAAGAUUCUGAGAAGCACUGCCCCUCCCACGUGUCACACUCUGGGGAGAGAUUAUUGGAAUGCCUCUUGGAUCAGGUAUCUUUGGUGAUCAUUCCACCUAGUUAAGAUGAAGCUGGUGAUAGCCUUUGGCUU